RNAcentral lists this microRNA precursor (56 nucleotides) under Pteropus alecto (black flying fox). RNAcentral's name for it is "microRNA pal-mir-458 precursor". Its record names the gene pal-mir-458. The record is from miRBase by way of RNAcentral. Lineage: Eukaryota; Metazoa; Chordata; Mammalia; Chiroptera; Pteropodidae.
AGAGCCAUCUACAGAGCUCUAAGAAACAGGGCUUGGAGCUCUGUAGAUGGCGCUGG